AUUUUCCACCUCCAAUUGUUGUUUACAAUUUAUUAUACUUUCUGGUGGACAUCCAACCAAAACCCAGGAUGGAUCAGUAUCCCGAUGAAAACGAGGAGUUCGAGCUGCAGUACCAAGAUGAAUUGGAGCUGCUGGAAGAUUUACCGGACGAAUUUAACCCUUACGAUGGUCCCAGCACCUCAAAACAGGCGGCUGAAAAACAAAAGGAAAACCAAGCUCCUUUGGGCUUAAAAGAUAAUUCCCGCUUUGGAAAUUCCACAUUGGGAUCGCCACAACUAUCGCAGAUUAGCUUUGGAGCCAGCAGUCAAUUGGAGGCAGAAGAUGCAGGCGGAGGCCAUGUAAAUCGGCGACUUUUCGGGACUCCCAAAGGCCCUCCCGCUGGAAGGGGGUGCUCCACGCCCUUCCAGCGAAUGCCCGCCAUCCAGGAACUGGAACAGACCCAACUCACUUCCAGGGACAAGGAUGCCAAUACCGCUGCCGAAAAACUCCAGGAAGUUGGCCUUAAAAAUGUGAAUAAGCGGCGUUUGGAACGCGACCUCUUUGGCGAUAUAGAUGACCUCUUCCACGAGUCCUACGAAGAUCCCUUGGUGAAGAAGGCCAGAACCGAGGAGCAACGCGACCAUGAAGCCAUCGAUAAGAUCCUCGAACUCCGCCGGAAAAUGCGCGAAUCCAGUAAAACUUUGCGAAAAGAUGAUGUUAGUCGGUUAAAGGAUUUACAUGACUUCAAGAUGCGGAACCUCUCCUAUGAGAUACCAAAUUGGCCCUUUUUGGCCAUCCAGCGCAGUGAUCUGGAGCGGAUCUAUGUUCGAUUCCAUUCGGAAGACUACGAGCAAAGGCAGCUGGACAUGAUCAGUGCCCGUGGCGAAGUGGUGGGCAGUCUUCUGGGCGAGGCCAAGGACAAGAUCUGGCAGGAAGCCGGUGAAAUAGUUCUAAGCCGCACUGCCAGCGAAUCAGAUGCAGAUGUAACCCUCGUGGCCACAAAUUCCACUACCGAACCGGGACGCCUUUGGGUGGACAAGUACAAGCCGCGGAAAUACAUUGACCUGCUCUCGGAUGAAAUGACUAACCGGAGUCUGCUCUACUGGCUGAAGAUGUGGGACAAAGUGGUAUUUGGCAAGGCAUUCCAUAGCAAACAGGAACAUGAGGCGAUGGCAGGAGAUGGCGGAGGCGGAGGAGGUGGUUCCAAUAACCAACUAAAUAGCUUCAAUAAGCGCACUGGCAAAUUCGAAUCGAAUGGCGGCUGGCGACAGCGCAAAUCCCGCCAAGCGCUCAACACAAAUGUGGAUGCCCUGGGCAGACCCAUGCAGAAGGUUGCCCUGCUAUGUGGACCUCCAGGUCUGGGCAAGACCACGCUGGCACACACGAUCGCCCGGCAUGCUGGCUACAAUGUCCGGGAGAUCAAUGCCUCCGACGAUCGCAGUCCGGAGGCCUUCAAAUUGGCCCUCGAGAAUGGCACGCAAAUGUCAUCGGUGCUGAAUGCAGACAAGCGACCCAAUUGCAUAAUUCUAGAUGAAAUUGAUGGUGCUCCCCGUCAGUCAAUCGAAUAUCUGGUCAAGUUCAUCAGCGAUGGAGUUUUCAACAAAGGCAAAGCCAAGGGUGCCAAGGCUGAGCAUAAUAUUUUAAAGCGUCCCAUUAUCUGCAUAUGCAAUGAUGUCUAUGAUCCCGCACUGCGACCAUUGAGACAAGUGGCCUUUGUGGUCACUUUUCCGCCCAUCGAUGCUGCGCGUCUGGCGGAAAGAUUGGUUAAGAUUGCCUACAGAGAGCAGCUGAAAACUGAUUUUGGUUCUCUGAUUGCCUUGGCCGAGAAAUCAGGCAACGAUGUCAGAAGUUGUAUAUCAUCUAUGCAGUUUUUCAAUGCCCAAAAACAGUGCCUUACUCUGCAGGAUGUGCUCAAUAACAAUCUAGGACAGAAGGACAGACACCAAGGCCUUUUUGCUGUGUGGGAAGCUAUAUUCCGAAUACAACGGCCACGCAAAACUCUCCAGACUGACGCCAAUAAGGGCGAUGAACCCGCUCAGGUCACAAUGACCAAUAUGUCGGUUAACACACGAGUUCGCAAUGUUCUGGAUGCCGUCCAUUCUAGUGGGGAUUACGAAAGGCUAACGCAAGGCGUAUAUGAGAAUUAUCUGCAACAGAAGAUGCCCGAUCCGAACUUUACGGGCGUUUGCGAUGCCCUCAAAUGGUUUUGCUUCACGGAUACGGUGCAGCAUCAGAUUAGCAGACAGCAGAACUACAGUGUGUACCCGUACCUGCAGUACGGCUUUGUCGUCUGGCACUUGCUGUUUGCCACACUGGCCUGGCCGAAAAUUGCAUUUCCAACGCGUGGCUUUGAGUUCCAGCAGAAGAGCACCAAUCAGAGGAAUAUUUUUCAGGCGCUGUGCAAAGGGGUCACCACCUCGGCUUUGGGUGUGGGUCAGGGCAAAACUCUGCUCCUCGAUACAGUGCCUUUGCUGAAGAGGAUUCUGUCACCACAACUGCGCUCCGUGGCGGUGCAGUUGCUGUCUCCAAAGGAGCAACAGGACUUACGCCACACCAUCGAGGUGAUGGUUGAUCUCGGCCUGACUUUCGUUCAAGUCAAGUCCCAAGAAGGACAUUAUGUCUUUCAAACCGAACCAGAUCUGGAUGCACUCAGUACAUUUCCAGGCUACUCUGGUCUCACGCUCCCCUACUUUAGUCGCCAGUUGAUAGCCCGCGAAGUGGACUUGGAACGCAUACGACGAGCUGCUCCCAAAGGCGGUGCUCCUUCAGCUCCUUCGGUCGCCAAAAAGAAAACUGCAGGAAGUGCAGCUGCUCAGCUGCCCAAUCAUUUGCAAACAUUGAAGCCGAAACCAAUUUCGGAGCCUAAUAUGCGCAGUGCACCCAAACAGCAGCUAACCAAGGACUUUUUUGGUCGCAUUACCCACAAAACGACUUCAAAAAAUUCAACAGAGGAGGCCAAAACCGAUGCCAUUGUGAAGAGCCCCAUUUGGUAUCGCUAUAAGGAGGGUUUCAACAAUGCCGUCCGCAAAGAUGUUCACAUACACGAACUACUCUAGACAACUUUCAUGGGUUUCUCACUUAAGUCAACACCUUUAUUUAUUAAAUAAAAAAUCAUUAAGAAUUAUCACUGGCAUUUUAUAGCUUUUGUUGUAAGUUUAAAAACAUUAAAAACAAAGGGCAUAUAAACAAUUAACUUGGAUUUUUAUGUAGACAGUUUAGUUGACGUUAACUUGAGAUAGUUUGAAACAAGACAUUUAAAAGGGAAUAUUAUCUUAAUGAGUGGAAAGUAAUAGGGUUGAAACAUUAUAAAGUUUUAGCCUUUUUUGCAUUAAGUUUUAUCACUGGCAUCUUGCAGCUUUUGUAUGAGUAGUUACCAACGGUUCUAUUUGUGUAAAUGUGUAGGAUUGUAUUGUUGGUUUUGCAUUUCUUAUCGCGGGUUGCGAUGAGUUAAAAAAUAAAAUUUUUUUAGUAAAGCGAACGUUUUAUUUUCAUUAAUUUUAACAGGUUAAUAGAUAAAAAGGUUUAGCAACAAGGUUUUUUCUGCAUUAGUGGCAUCUUGUGACCGCUAACCGUUUGAUUUCUUUUAUAUUAUUUAUUUGUGUAAAUGUGUACCACACACGAUUGUAUUAUAGUUGGCUUUGCAUUUCUUAUCGCGGCUUUCGAUGG
This is an RNA transcript of Drosophila elegans, 3645 nucleotides long. It is a transcript of the gene named chromosome transmission fidelity protein 18 homolog, with no coding region annotated. The transcript has 13 exons. The record is from RefSeq and is a predicted model, not a curated record. NCBI's taxonomy places the organism in Eukaryota, Metazoa, Arthropoda, Insecta, Diptera, Drosophilidae.